UACGUAGGGAGCAAGCGUUGUCCGGAAUCAUUGGGCGUAAAGAGCUUGUAGGCGGUUUGUCGCGUCUGCUGUGAAAAUCCGGGGCUCAACCCCGGACUUGCAGUGGGUACGGGCAGACUGGAGUGUGGUAGGGGAGACUGGAAUUCCUGGUGUAGCGGUGGAAUGCGCAGAUAUCAGGAGGAACACCGAUGGCGAAGGCAGGUCUCUGGGCCACUACUGACGCUGAGAAGCGAAAGCAUGGGGAGCGAACAGG
This 253-nucleotide ribosomal RNA is filed under the name uncultured bacterium. Its description in RNAcentral is "partial 16S ribosomal RNA". It matches the Rfam family "Bacterial small subunit ribosomal RNA", at positions 524 to 776 of the family's 1533-position model. The record is from RNAcentral.